CGGACGGGUGAGUAACGCGUGGGUAACCUGCCUUGUACUGGGGGACGAACAGUUAGAAAUGACUGCUAAUACCGCAUAAGCGCACAGUAUCGCAUGAUACAGUGUGAAAAACUCCGGCGGUACAAGAUGGACCCGCGUCUGAUUAGCUAGUUGGUAAGGUAACGGCUUACCAAGGCGACGAUCGGUAGCCGGACUGAGAGGUUGAACGGCCACAUUGGGACUGAGACACGGCCCAA
This 236-nucleotide ribosomal RNA is filed under the name uncultured bacterium. RNAcentral describes it as "partial 16S ribosomal RNA". It matches the Rfam family "Bacterial small subunit ribosomal RNA", at positions 99 to 334 of the family's 1533-position model. The record is from RNAcentral.